UCGGACACAUUCAAGACUCUCUGGCUCUGACGAUGAUAAGUCAUCUGCCGUGAUCUUGCCACCGGUAUGCUCAUACCAGAGCGAUAACCGGUAAGCUUGGAUUUCGUUGGUGUUGUUGGUAUUGGUUUGGUAGCAACCUAUUGCAAUCUCGGUGUCCCGACAACCAUCCAUUGAUCUCUGGUUUAUAUUGGCUGAUCCUAUCAAAAUGUAUGUGUCGUCCACUACAAACAUAUGACAAUCUCUGUAAUUUAAAUCUUAAGUGAAAGUUUGUGAAAGUUUAACGAAUCUUCAAUAUAUUUUCAUUUCAGAUUGUGAAUUGCGGAUUGUUUGUUACCUAUCAUGAGCUUGGAGUGGACAUAGACCAUGAAUCUCCGAUUCCUCUGCGCAUUCCAGUAAUGCGUUUUCUGGUGGGGCGACGAAACUGCUUCAAACUCCC
RNAcentral lists this long non-coding RNA (436 nucleotides) under Arabidopsis thaliana (thale cress). RNAcentral's name for it is "long non-coding RNA (ATHA_LNC000591)". The record is from RNAcentral. Lineage: Eukaryota; Viridiplantae; Streptophyta; Magnoliopsida; Brassicales; Brassicaceae.